Gallus gallus (chicken) is the source of this 1316-nucleotide long non-coding RNA. Lineage: Eukaryota; Metazoa; Chordata; Aves; Galliformes; Phasianidae. The record is from Ensembl.
AAUAAUGAAUGGUGCAAAGCAAUGAGGAAGCGCUGAGAGCCAGGAAUGGGAAGCUGGUGACAGAUGAGGCUGAUAAGGCAGACAGCCUAAAGGAAUUCUUCGCCCCAGUAAUCACAGAGGCAGCAGAAGGUAACGUCCCAGGAACUGGGAUUUGUUUUCCUCAGGGAAGGAAGUAAAAUGUCAAAAGGUUUUACUCUUGCACUGGAGUGGAUAAUAAGGCAAUUAGUACCCUUAAAAGUCGUCAGAGCACCCAGACUGCAGUGAUAAAUCACAUCCUGCGAUGGGAGCGGGAGACUGUCGGAAAGCUUUUAUGGAGCGGUUGUGGUCACCUACCGUGGGUGGGAUUACUGAGGGCACGUGAGUGCUCUGUGGAGUUUGCACUGAAAACCAAGGAGGAGCACUGGAGUACGACAUCUAUAGGUUUGUGAGCUCAGCUUCUCUUCUGCAGCAGAAACCAAACACUGAGCAUCCUAAUGGGAGGGAGAAUAGUGCUUGGGAGGCAUUCCACCUUCACUGUUGUGAGAUGUGAGAAUCCCCGAGAGAAGCACCUCUUCAUGGGCACCUUGAAGGCAGCUUCCUUCACCCUUUCAAAAAAGUCAAACUACAUAAAUCAGGCAGUACGAUUUUGCCCAACCAAACAGCCAUAAUUUGACUACCAAGACUACUUUGUUCCCUGUGUCUUUAAUAGGCAGCUCUUCUUCUUCAUGCAGACAGCUUAAAAUGUGGUACCAAGACCAAGCUGGAUCACUAAGUUUAGUCUGAUGAUUUGAUCUUGUCAUCUUCAUUAUGAAUUAACUCGAGAAUCUGAAACAGAAACAACAUAGCUACAUGAAAUACCAAUACAAUUGCGUGCAAAUACAAAGAUUAACUCAUUCUAACUUGACUUUUCACUGCGUGAUCCUGCACUCCUCGUCGACAUAAAAACUGUUCAGCUGCAAAGGGCCCUUGAGCAUAACGUGACAUUUACAGCAUCUACGAGUAUUUCUUGUUUAUUUCUCAUAAAUUUCCUUUGGUAAUAACUUAGUCACUCGGCAACACUACAGGAUACACAUAUAUUAUAUGAUUAUCUCAUAUUUUAUACAACACAUGUGAAAGUAAUUAAUUUUCCCAGGCAAAUGUCAGACCAUUUAGUUCAUCGUUACAAGCCAAAUAUUUGUGCAACGAUUUGUUACAAAUAUAUGCAUAACCACAGAACACUUUGGCUCCAUAGUAUUUAAUAACUGUAAUUUAAAGGGACACUGUCAGAGCUGUUAAAGUCUCAACUUCUACAUUAGCCUUUGUUCCACAUGCAAUUCCCUUUAGGAUCCAACCUCAAC